RNAcentral lists this long non-coding RNA (325 nucleotides) under Elaeis guineensis (African oil palm). RNAcentral's name for it is "long non-coding RNA (EGUI_LNC065394)". Lineage: Eukaryota; Viridiplantae; Streptophyta; Magnoliopsida; Arecales; Arecaceae. The record is from RNAcentral.
UCACUCGAGAAGAGCUACAAUGCAUUGAUCCCGAUCUACUUGAGCGUCAUCAGAGCGGAAUCGACCCACACUCGAUAGGAUCGAGUUUCCCCCACAUCGGGAGAAUUGAUGCGGACACUAGAGCCAUCAAAAAUCGACAACAUGAUUUAAAUUCGAUUUGGAUCGAAGAAGCCUUAUUAGAUUGAUUCUACUUCAGUUAUUUAUUUUCAGUCAAUAAAUUUUUAAUGCAUUUAGCUUUGGGUCCAUAGGGCCAUACUUGGAUUUGUCCACAUUAUCUUUGGAGCCACCACUCUCCACAUGCCAAGAGAAGAAAUGUCACGCCCCA